GACGAACGCUGGCGGCGUGCUUAACACAUGCAAGUCGAACGGAAAGGCCCUGCUUUUGUGGGGUGCUCGAGUGGCGAACGGGUGAGUAACACGUGAGUAACCUGCCCUUGACUUUGGGAUAACUUCAGGAAACUGGGGCUAAUACCGGAUAGGAGCUCCUGCUGCAUGGUGGGGGUUGGAAAGUUUCGGCGGUCGGGGAUGGACUCGCGGCUUAUCAGCCUGUUGGUGGGGUAGUGGCUUACCAAGGCUUUGACGGGUAGCCGGCCUGAGAGGGUGACCGGCCACAUUGGGACUGAGAUACGGCCCAGACUCCUACGGGAGGCAGCAGUGGGGAAUAUUGCACAAUGGGCGGAAGCCUGAUGCAGCAACGCCGCGUGCGGGAUGACGGCCUUCGGGUUGUAAACCGCUUUCGCCUGUGACGAAGCGUGAGUGACGGUAAUGGGUAAAGAAGCACCGGCUAACUACGUG
RNAcentral lists this ribosomal RNA (468 nucleotides) under uncultured bacterium. Its description in RNAcentral is "partial 16S ribosomal RNA". It matches the Rfam family "Bacterial small subunit ribosomal RNA", at positions 28 to 507 of the family's 1533-position model. The record is from RNAcentral.